This 86-nucleotide microRNA precursor is filed under the name Megaselia scalaris. RNAcentral's name for it is "mir-981 microRNA precursor family". It matches the Rfam family "mir-981 microRNA precursor family". Lineage: Eukaryota; Metazoa; Arthropoda; Insecta; Diptera; Phoridae. The record is from Rfam by way of RNAcentral.
CCAUGCAUACAACGGGUUUCGCAGUCUAACGAGCUCUAUUUUAAAUCAGAUAGUUCGUUGUCGACGAAACCUGCAUUUUGCAAUGG